AUGCCACGCGAGGGAGUAUCGCCGUGCUCGCGCGAUAACGACUCACGUAGGCAGUAUUGGCGUUAAAUUAUUUUCCUGUCGAUAGUUUAUUCGAUUGCCAAGAUGAUAGACGAGACAACGGCGCGGUUGUAUGCACGCCGUGCGCAUGGGAAUGGCAAGAUUUUAUACGUGCCAAUAACUGCUUUGUACAAAUGAUGAAGGCAGAAGCAAUCAUGGAAUCGAAGUAUGUUCUCCUCCUCCGGAGGCCUGGAAACGUCAUUCUCUGUCGAUCGACUGUAGUAAGCCGCCGGUGAAAGUGAGCACAAACGUUCACUUCGCGGGUCACCGAUUCUCGGGUGUCCUAUCAAUGUAUUAAUUGCGAGUUACAAUGUAAAAAGAGUAACAAUGUAUUAUUACAUAGCUUUGUAAUUAUAGAUCAGUACUUCGUUAAAGGCGUUUCACAUUAACUUAAAAAUUUCAUUUCACAUAAUAAAAAUUCAAAACUUUUAAAUCU
Pogonomyrmex barbatus (red harvester ant) is the source of this 493-nucleotide long non-coding RNA. RefSeq lists it as uncharacterized. Lineage: Eukaryota; Metazoa; Arthropoda; Insecta; Hymenoptera; Formicidae. The record is from RefSeq and is a predicted model, not a curated record.